Molecule: microRNA precursor, 60 nt
Filed under: Monodelphis domestica (gray short-tailed opossum)
Lineage: Eukaryota; Metazoa; Chordata; Mammalia; Didelphimorphia; Didelphidae
Description: microRNA mdo-mir-7330 precursor
Source: miRBase by way of RNAcentral
CUUGCUCAGAGUCACAUAGCUAGGGCUGCUAAUUACUACUUAUGUGACUUUGGCCAAAUC